UCUGCCCUGAGUCUGAAAUGUACACCAGGCUCUUCUGCUGUGUGGCUCUUUGUUUCCUGUGGACAGGACAGGCAGAUGCUGGUGCUGGAAUCACUCAGAGCCCACACAAGAUCACAGGCACAGGGAAGAUGGUGACUCUAACGUGUCACCAGACUCAGAACCAUGACUACAUGUACUGGUAUCGACAAGACCGGGGACAUGGGCUGAGGCUGAUCCAUUAUUCAAAUGGUUUUGGCAGCACUGACAAAGGAGAAGUCCCUGAUGGGUACAGCGUCUCCAGAUCAAGUACAGAGAACUUCCCCCUCACACUGGAGUCUGCUACCCCCUCCCAGACAUCUGUGUACUUCUGUGCCAGCAGUUACUCCACAGCAUUGCAUGGCCACCUCCUCUCUGUACAGAAAGUGUAG
Molecule: non-coding RNA, 407 nt
Organism: Equus quagga
Lineage: Eukaryota; Metazoa; Chordata; Mammalia; Perissodactyla; Equidae
Source: the annotation of a RefSeq genome assembly